AUUGAACGCUGGCGGAAUGCUUUACACAUGCAAGUCGAACGGCAGCACGGACUUCGGUCUGGUGGCGAGUGGCGAACGGGUGAGUAAUGUAUCGGAACGUGCCCAGUCGUGGGGGAUAACGUAGUGAAAAUUACGCUAAUACCGCAUACGAUCGAUGGAUGAAAGCGGGGGAUCGCAAGACCUCGCGCGAUUGGAGCGGCUGAUAUCAGAUUAGGUAGUUGGUGGGGUAAAGGCCCACCAAGCCAACGAUCUGUAGCUGGUCUGAGAGGACGACCAGCCACACUCGAACUGAGACACGGUCCAGACUCCUACGGGAGGCAGCAGUGGGGAAUUUUGGACAAUGGGCGAAAGCCUGAUCCAGCCAUUCCGCGUGCAGGAUGAAGGCCCUCGGGUUGUAAACUGCUUUUGUACAGAACGAAAAGGUUUCUACUAAUACUAGGAGCUCAUGACGGUACUGUAAGAAUAAGCACCGGCUAACUACGUGCCAGCAGCCGCCGUAA
This 500-nucleotide ribosomal RNA is filed under the name uncultured bacterium. Its description in RNAcentral is "partial 16S ribosomal RNA". It matches the Rfam family "Bacterial small subunit ribosomal RNA", at positions 30 to 523 of the family's 1533-position model. The record is from RNAcentral.